RNAcentral lists this ribosomal RNA (499 nucleotides) under uncultured bacterium. RNAcentral describes it as "bacterial SSU rRNA". It matches the Rfam family "Bacterial small subunit ribosomal RNA", at positions 25 to 518 of the family's 1533-position model. The record is from RNAcentral.
CAGGAUGAACGCUAGCUACAGGCUUAACACAUGCAAGUCGAGGGGUAGCAGGGUAGCAAUACCGCUGACGACCGGCGCACGGGUGAGUAACACGUAUCCAACCUUCCCAUAACUCAGGGAUAGCCUUUCGAAAGAAAGAUUAAUACCUGAUAGUACUUUUUCAAGGCAUCUUGAAAAAAGUUAAAGAUUUAUUGGUUAUGGAUGGGGAUGCGUUCCAUUAGAUAGUUGGUGAGGUAACGGCUCACCAAGUCUUCGAUGGAUAGGGGUUCUGAGAGGAAGGUCCCCCACAUUGGUACUGAGACACGGACCAAACUCCUACGGGAGGCAGCAGUGAGGAAUAUUGGUCAAUGGGCGAGAGCCUGAACCAGCCAAGUAGCGUGAAAAGGAUGAAGGUCCUAUGGAUUGUAAACUUCUUUUAUAGUAGAAUAAAGUGAGCCACGUGUGGUUUUUUGUAUGUAUACUAUGAAUAAGGAUCGGCUAACUCCGUGCCAGCCGCCGC